GUCCCCCGGGGGAACAUUUGAUAAAAUUGGAAUGCUACGGAGAAAAUUAGCAUGGCCCUUGCGCAAGGAUGACACGCAUAAAUCUCGGAAUGAUCCAAAAUUUU
RNAcentral lists this small nuclear RNA (104 nucleotides) under Prunus persica (peach). The record is from RNAcentral. Lineage: Eukaryota; Viridiplantae; Streptophyta; Magnoliopsida; Rosales; Rosaceae.